UGGUUGUUAAAUAUUAUAUACCUCUAACAGUAUAACUACAAUACAGAUCGUAUGCUUGCAUCACCUUACCCAAAUUAAGGGUGAAAAUGCUAAAUGGUGUAUUGUUACAUCAAUAUCUCGGGUGUAGGUUUGGGCACUCUUUUUAUAUGUGUUCCAGUCUGGUUGAGUUCUGCUAUUUCUCUUUCGCUAAAAUUUUAUCAUAAAUCAGGCUGCUGUUAUUUCUUUUUUUUUUGGCAUUGUUUUUACUUUUAUCAUUUUGCUGUCCUUACAACUGAGUAUAUGUUUUGCUUUAUAAAUAUUUUGAUAUGAGCGUCACUGAUGAGUCUUAUGUAGACGAAACGCGCGUCAGGUGUACUAAAUUGUAAUCCUGGUCCCUUUGAUAACUAUUAUAAGCUUAGUUAAAUGGUGAGGGUCAUACA
This 419-nucleotide long non-coding RNA is filed under the name Mytilus galloprovincialis (Mediterranean mussel). The record is from RNAcentral. Lineage: Eukaryota; Metazoa; Mollusca; Bivalvia; Mytilida; Mytilidae.